UACGUAGGUGGCAAGCGUUGUCCGGAUUUAUUUGGCGUAAAGGGAGCGCAGGCGGUGACUUAAGUCUGAUGUGAAAGCCCACGGCUCAACCGUGGAAGGUCAUUGGAAACUGGGUCACUUGAAUAUAGAAGAGGAAAGUGGAAUUCCAUGUGUAGCGGUGAAAUGCGUAGAUAUUAGGAGGAACACCAGUUGCGAAGGCGGCUCUCUGGACUGUAACUGACACUGAGGCACGAAAGCGUGGGGAGCAAACAGGGAUUAGAUACCCCGGUAGU
Molecule: ribosomal RNA, 272 nt
Filed under: uncultured prokaryote
Description: partial 16S ribosomal RNA
Rfam family: Bacterial small subunit ribosomal RNA
Source: RNAcentral